Neodiprion fabricii is the source of this 273-nucleotide long non-coding RNA. RefSeq lists it as uncharacterized. NCBI's taxonomy places the organism in Eukaryota, Metazoa, Arthropoda, Insecta, Hymenoptera, Diprionidae. The record is from RefSeq and is a predicted model, not a curated record. The transcript is spliced from 2 exons.
UUUUUCUCUCUUAUAGAAUUCAUCGGGAAUUUUUAAGAUCUUUGUCAUUAUUCCGUGACAACUAAAUCAAACAAACGUGGUAUAGUUCACCAGUAUAUUGUACAAUUGUAUAAAUGCGGUCAGAAUCUAAGGUAUGGAAAGACCCCGACGACGACGACGAUGACCAUGAAGAUGCCGAUGACGAUGACGAUGAUGACGAUAAGAGGGAAAUAAAUAAUUGAAUAGAUAAACACCUUUAAAAACGCCCGACGCUCUCUCAACAGCUGAAAGAUU